Alligator mississippiensis (American alligator) is the source of this 10063-nucleotide long non-coding RNA. RefSeq lists it as uncharacterized. The record is from RefSeq and is a predicted model, not a curated record. The transcript has 2 exons. NCBI's taxonomy places the organism in Eukaryota, Metazoa, Chordata, Crocodylia, Alligatoridae.
CAGAUUUCCCUUCACUCAGGGUCAUGGCUGUUGCAAUCCCAGGUUUGGAACGCAGUUGGUUUUGUCUGAAACAAGACAAAAAAAAUACUGUCUCAUCUGCCAAGGGGCAGCACCUCCUCUUGCUCUGCAACAAUUUGCUGUGGUUCAGAAGGGAAGGAACCAGCAGCAGAGAGCCUGGGGCACCCAUUUCUCAGCUGGGGAAGAAAGUGUGUGUUUGUCCUUACAUUUCUUCUGGCCUCUUGGUUGUAGCUGAGUCAGACUCCUAGGAGGAUUUCUUAUAGGAGACAGAAGGGGACCAAAGCAUGCAUUCUGCCACCAUUGCACCAGUAAAAUAAGUAUAGGAGAGGAAACUCUCCACUGCAUUGAUAUUGUCACAGGUCUUGAUGUUUUGUGCUAAUAUAGAAUUAUGUAUCUCUGUUUGCAUACAUGUGUUUGUAUGUAUAGCAUACUUGUGUGGAUGCAUGUUUGUGUGUGUAGGUGUGGGCAUGACCUUGGGAAAUGGUAGUGUGUUGUAGGAAAGAGUAAAGCAUGGAUGUGUCACUGCACACAAUUCGUGUGUUACUGCAAGCUUUUUCCUGUGCAUGGGAGGGUGGAGAAAUGGAUGAGAGGGAACUGCUGUGUGUACCUGUGUUGCUGGGGAGCACUGUGCUCUUGCUCUCCAUCUCACACCACUGCACACAGCCAAGAAGGACAAAGGAACUGGCAAGGCAAUUGCUUUUACUCUGGCUUGUGGUUAAGGGAAGAUGAGCCAUUUUCCUGGCAGGAAGGAAUGGUGGGCAAGCUGGCUUUUCCUUUUUUUGCCCUCAUCUUUUAGGUGCUAGGGAGCACUACAGGCCAAUGGGAGGGGGUACCUCAGGGUUUUGCAGCUGGAAGCCCCUUCUGUACCACACAGUGAUACUGCUCCACAGAGUCACAAACAGGGUGCUGACAGAUAUGCAAGUCCCUGAUGUAACCCAUGGUGCUUCACAAAGAGUGCCAUGAGUAACAGUGCCCCCCUCCCCCCAACCCAACAGACAUUCACUGUUUAGUCAAGGGAUAGGGGGAAGGAAAAAUGAGCUCCACUUUGGACCCAAUCCAUGGAAGAGAGGCUGCAAACCCCUAGCCCCACCCCCUCCUCCCAGCUCCAGUGCUGUCUUCAGGAUGGGAGGGGGGAGGAAGGGGACGGUUCUCUCUCUGGGGUUUACCCAGCCUGCACUGGAUGGAGAGUGGGGCAGGUGGAUCAGAGCCCCCCUCAAGGUGGGGGGGCUCCAAUCCACCCACCCCAGCCUCCAGCACAGGCUGGCCAAACCCCAGAUGGAACUCCUUCUGCUCCCUUCCUCUCCUCCCAUCCUGAAAACAGCACUGGGGUAGGGAUAGGCUGUAUCAGCCCAGCCCUGCUCCCAGGCAGGGACAAACAGAAGUUAAUGAAGGCACUCUGCUUUGGAGCACCUUCAUCUGAACCCUCAUUUAAUGAGGGUCAAUUUGUCCCACGAUCAGGCACUUCUAAAGUGCUCUGCAGUCAUGUACUUCUCUCAGGGCACAGCUGUACAGCACUUUCAAGGGGCUGAUCAUGCAACAGACUUCAAAAUCUCCCCACCCAGACACCAACUCCUUGAGCUGCUCCUACCUUCCAGCCUGCUGCUAUGUAAGCCCUCACUUCACCAAGCAGAGAAAAAGGAGCUUUGAAGGAACAGUCCCCACAAAUCAAGGGGAGGAGAGUUGGGGGGGGGCUCCCUGUUUCUAACUGAUGGGGAGCUCUGUCCUUGCACUCCCACUACAUUAACCCAUCCCAAACACCAGGCAAGCCAUCAAAGUAAAAUAAGUUUUGCCUCCUCUGACUCAAGAGCUUCUGGAAAAAAGGCAAAUCCAUGUCUGGGUUUCUUGUUGUUAUUGCUCAGCAGUGAAUCAAGUCUCCAGAGGGGAAUUUCAUUCUAAUUCCAACACAAAGAGACAACUUUAAAAAGCUACAUGGAAAGUCAGUAGAGUCACCAGCAGUAGUUAUUUUUACAGUUUUCCAAGACAGAAAGUGUCCAACCCCUGCCCAUGUCUCCUCAGCCCCUCCCCUGUGCUCACCAUAACCACUACUUAUUAGUUGUUGCUGUUAUUAUUACUCUUUUAAUAUUUUUGCCAUCACACCCACAUUGUGAUAGGCACUGCCUACACACUGGAAGGUAUGAUUCUUGCCCCCAAAAGCUCAAAACCUGAAAUGAGCAGCAAAUAAAGGGUGUGUAUGUGCCAGAGACAUACAAUUAAGGGGGCAGAGCCUUGGACCUAAGCAUACGCCUUCUGUCCUGGAUAUAAAGCUACCCAAAAGGGCCUGAUUAGAAUUUGUAUGUGAUGCUGAGCUGACAUAAGCAUCUCAUCUAUGUGCCUCCAGUGUUAAUAUGCAAAAGGGCAGAGCCAGAGCCCCAGCGACCCUUGACUAUUCCAAGAUGUGGUAACUUAAAACUGUCCUAGAGCCAAACUAGCUCUCAUCUGCCCUUGAGGUUAAGAGUAUCCAAAGAAGCCUUUAAGCCAUCUUUGCAACCCUUCCCUCCCCCUCCCCCCAGCUUGGGUCCUAAGCUGAAUAGCUGGACCAACCAUCUGAGUUAACAGCUAAAAGAAAGUGGAUCAUUUUUGUUACAGAAACAUCAACUAUCCCAAACUGCCCCUCUGCUUAGCCACACGGGAGGCUGGUUAUUCCAGUGUAAAAGUGAGUUAUGAAGAUGCACCUGAAGGAGAGACUAGUGGCCUUAGAGAGCGCUAUAAAAGGAGAAAGCAUAGAAGGAAGCAGAAAGAUGGUUGUGGGAGAAGAAACCCACUAGAUAGUCAAACCUGCCUUAGCUGGCAGAACAGAUGGAGUGAGGGAGCACUUCAUAAGAACAACUGUAUAUGAGCAGUGAGGAGCAGAUCUGUGAAUGCCCUUUACAUGAAGAUUAAAUUUACCAUGAUGGAGACAGUGGGGUUGGGAUGACAAGGUACACAGUGGAGGCAUUUAGAGAUGGGAGCAGUAUGCUCAGAGCAAGGAGGGGGAGGUGAUCUUAGCAGCUGGACUCCAAGGAUGUAAAGUAUGUGCUGAGCAGGCUGAGGCUGUGGCAGUCAAGGUGGCAGAUACUGACUGGGGUAAUGAGGAGGCCUUCACAAUCAGACUGGCAUCUAUUCAGAUCCCACCAUAACAUACCCAGUGCCCCAUUCUAGUUUCAUGAAGCCCAAAGGACCAAUGUUCCAGAGAGAAGAGAUCCCCUGGCCACCUCUAUGCAAUGGGGAAAGGCUAGUCUUGGAGAAAGGCAGGGCACUGGGAGCCUGAAAUGUCUACACCCAAUCCAUGGGUGUUUUGUGAGGGCCUGGGUAAAUCACUACCCUUCUCUGCCCUUCAGCUCCCGUUCAGUAAAUUAUGCAAAUGGCAGUGACUCUGCUCUCAGUUGUAAUGAAUGUCAUAUAGUGUUGUAUGGUCCUUUGAGAUCCUCAGAGAGAAGCAGGUAGAAAAGAGCAAAGGGUUAAUAUUACAGUUCAACGGAGCUUUUUUUUGCAUGAAAGCAGGGGCCUGAUGAGGAAUCCCAUUCCAGUUCCAUCCCUAGCAUAUUCCAGCAAGCCUCUGAUCUUUCCUAACCCCAGUCCUGGGGCCUUCAGAAAGCAAGACAAGUGGUUCAGUUUGUUUUGACAGGACUGGACUCUGUCUGAAAAUACUAGGAAGCCUCCUGAGUCAGCAGCUCACUUGCUCCUACUCUCGGAAUAGCUGAGAUUCCCGGACACAGUAAUUUGACUCCGCUCCUGGCUGAGGGCAGCCGCUAGCUGAAAGGCAAAAUACAAUCCCCUCCUGGCCCAUUAAGAGGCCUAUUCUAGGAUCAGGAGAAACCAGUCUGACUGAUGAACUCCCUUGGCUCAGGGGCUCUGGGCUGGGGCUGCUGGGAGAGUUAUUCUUUCCUUAUUCAGCAGACGAAACGAAGUUAAUGGAGAGCAUAUGGGGGCGGGGGGGAAGUACUCUAGAUAGGACUGGAAUACAGCCAGACUGAAUUCAACCCCCAAGAAACCUACCCUCCAGCCACGCAACACAGAAACAGGAAAGGAAAAGAUGAGAAAACCACCUGCGGUAUGGGGCAGCUAGGAAACACCACUUCAGCCCUUCUUCUCUCUGCUGUCUGCCCCUACACACAUGAUAAAGGAACUAGUGUUACCACCUUUUCAUAAUGUCACAAAGUUUGGAUUGUAAACUCUUCCAUGCAGAAACAUGCCUUAGUGAGGGGCCUGAUCCUGGAAGCCUGACUACAGACUUCAACGGAAGCAGAAGCAGGUUCUGUGUCUGUAAAGUUCUGUAUUACUUGUGUUGCUGUAGAAGUGAUUGACUAUGGCACUCAUACAAGUCAGAGAUGGAAAAGCCCAAUUAACUCCUCCAGUCUAUCUACCAGGGCCAAGGCAGGAUUUUUUCACUUUGCACACUUCCUAGAUUUCUACCCAGCCAAAUUUUAAAUGUCCUAAGCAGUGAGGUUCCUGCUUUUUAUCUUUUGUUCUCAUUUAAAGAGGAGCCCCUGGCAUGAUUAGCAUAUUCCUUAUUAUACUAUUGCUGUGAUCUGUAGAGAUGGGGUGGACAAAGUACAUCCCAGGUGGCCCACCACUGCCCUUACCUUCAAAAAGAGUGGCUUGUGAGGAUGAUAGGUUUCAGCUUCCAAUAUGUCAGCUUAAGUUGAGAACUGAGAGGCUUUGUACUAAAGAUGAGGGCAGCUGAAAUCUGCUCCAAUUAGAGAAAUUAGGUAGGGCCUUCUGGCUCCUGCUGAUUUGCUAAUGGAGCACUGAGAGGUUUGUGUGUGUAGACAGGAGGGCAUUAUGGACUGGAGCCAGGUAAAAUCCUAGGCUCACUCAGCAGUGGAGAAGGUUCAGGAUGGGACUGCAGGUUUUCCUCCCCACCUUCAUAACCAAAAACAUCAGAAGCCAGAACUAAAACAUUCUUCUGGAGGGAACUCCAGCUGCAGAGUUUUCUGUCACAGGUGGUCAGGCCUUGCUUGUGUCUCCCUGCAUUCAGAGAAUACAAGAUGCUUCCUUAUGUAUGUGCCCCCUCUAUUCAGUUGUUUACGAAAGGGUCUGUAGGUAUCGCCCCCUCCCUCACCUACAGCCCUGUGAUCCUUCUGCAAAACAACUUAUCACAACAACUAAAGCCUUGAUUCUCUGUUAAAAUAUAGUGUAGAGUGAUGGCUGCCAAAGGCGACUCGCAACUUCCUUAUCCUUGGCUUUCUGACUCCAGUGCAAUUCACGACCAUGGGGAAGUUGCUGUAGUUUACACUGCUGGUGUGGGCUCUGUACCCACCAAGGGAGGGUCCAGUGUUGAAGAGCUUUUGGCUCCACCCUGCAACAUUUCCUCUUCCCCUCAUGCUGGCAGGGGGAGGGGGGAUAAGGACGGAUUGCUGUACAGAAGAGGGAGCUAUGCCACCUGCACCAGAUUAACACUGACAGAGCUAGAAGGAAUUUUCCUGUGGGAAUCUCCUGCUGAUCUGAGUUCACUUUUGUGCUGCAUAAGCAACGCAAAGUGAAUUUAGCAGAGACCAGAGAAACGAGACUGAAGUGCCUUAGGGGGGACAGAGGAUAUGGUACAAAUGGAACUGCAAUAAUGUCGCUUCUAAUUCUUGUAAUCUGUCACCUAGCUACUGCAGCGAUUGGCACAUUAGAAAUCCACAGAGAGAUUAGAUGUGAUUUGAUCAAACCAGUGGCAGCCCAAACACCAGGAUACUCACAGGUUCUAUUCAGACAAGUAUCUGAAAUGUAGUGACUGCAUCUCCAAAUCUCUUUUGUCUAGAAAUGGGGCAUCUCCUGAGGUUGGUUUUUCUCCUGGUAUUUCUCAUUCCCUACAGUUCCCUGUGGGUCAGAAAUACCAUGAGAAAAAGCCUCAUUCACAGCAUUUUAAUAAUUCCACAUCCAGUCUCAGCAGGAGAUGAGAAACCUAGACACUAUGGCUAGGAGGGUGGGAGGAGAAGACAGCAGAGCUUAGUCAGAGAUGAAUAGAAAUUCCUUGGUAAAGGACAGAACAGAUUUGGAACCUUUUAUAUUUGGGUCACUAAUUCAGAUCUAUCCUAUUGCAGUAGUAGCUGCAAGUUGGUGGAUUGUUACUGGCUUACUUGAAAUUAAUUAUGAGGUCUGCAGCUGGCUCCCACUGGAGAAAUGUCCACAGUAUUCUAGGUAGCAGAUCUGCCUGAAUGAAAAUGACACCAAGCUGGCACAUAAGGAAAGUUUGGCAAUGUUCAUCACAACUGAAUUAACUGUAAAAAAAAGAGGGCUUAGGAUGGGAAACUGGCAGAUUUUCUUCCCAACUCCCCAAAAGGAGGAGGAUUUAUCAAUGAUUUUCAAAUUUUUAACUGAUGUUCUAAUUUUCUUCAUGAAAACCCUUCAAACCGAUGCUCAGUAAGUCUCUAUAGCACACAGUAAAAAUAGUUCACACAGGCUGUAGAACCACUUCUCUGAAUUUGUACAAUGCAUGCUUAUGGUCAAAACUGUCAGGCUUUGAAAAAUUUAUGUACCUUUCCAACCAUCCCAAAAAGGCAGUAAAUCUAGAUUAUGUAUUGAAAUUGCUCAGGGACGCUGGGUAUUUCUACCUCAGAAGACCAAAUUAUUUUACUGCCCUACUCCAUUUUUCACAUUCUUUUACUAAAAGCUAAUCUUUUUCAUUUGUGGCUGUUCGUAUUUUACAAUCCGGUUGCUCAUUUCUAAUCAAAAUGGGAAUCUGAGCAGUUCAAUGCACCUGGUGCCAUUGGUCUCCUGAAUCAUUACUGCCUUGCUCCAGGCAGGGACAGUGACAGCAUCUGGGUUCUCCCUCCCUGCAUUUGCUCCGGACUGGUAGGGAACACCUGGGAGAACUGGUCAGAGAGGAGUAACCAGCCAGCUGCUGCUGCUGUUCCUGGCCAGAGUGGCUCUGGAGCACCUUUCCCCAUGCCCGAUCAGCCAAGGACAGCAGCAACAGUGAGCAGGAAAGGGGGCAGAAAGGGGAUGUGCUGCUGAGUAUGGAGGGGAAGGGGUUGGGUGCCAAGAGUGGGAGGGAGUUUGUGGGGGGCAGGAUUUUUACCUGAAUGGCUCCCACUUCUGCCCACUCCAAUGGGAGGAAACCUGGGACAGAGGGUUUGGAUCAUAGAGUCCUGGCUUAAUUCUAGAGCAUCCCCUUGCCCUGCAUAUAUGGAGGUUGGGGGGUGAGCAGCAGUGCCUAGAGGACUGACCAGACACCAGGCAUGGAGUACUCUGUGCCCCUGCAUAAUACUGAACAUGUUCAAGGAGGACCGGCUCCAAAUAGUACAUGAUUUUUCUGGUGUGCUCUUGAAAUGUUCCAGGCAGUUCAAGCUGGUUAAAAGUGUCCUGUGAAUCUGGACUCUUGUGGCACCUAUACACAAGGAGGCUACUCCAAUGUGCUGUACUUACAAUGUGUCAGAGCAGACUCAAUUAACUGAGUCUGGAGCUUGGUAAUUAUCACACUCCAGCAGACCGCAGCAUCUCAACAAGAAAUAAUGGCCAUAAGCUAGCAGAGAGCAGAUUUAGAUUGGACAUUAGGAAGAACUUAUUCACAGUUAGAGUGGCCAAGGUCUGGAACGGGCUCCCAAGGGAGGUGGUGCUCUCCCCUACCCUGGGGGUCUUCAAGGGGAGGUUAGAUAGGCAUCUAGUUGGGGUCAUCUAAACCCAGCACUCUUUCCUGCCUAUGCAGGGGGUUGGACUCGAUGAUCUAUUGAGGUCCCUUCCGACCCUAACAUCUAUGAAUCUCAUGUAUCAGUGUCACCGCACUGAAAAAUGGCAGUGGGGUCAUUUUAACUAACGGUCGUUUGAGGGGCUUGAAUUAAAGCACCCCCGCUGCCAUUUUUCAGCACAGGGACACUAAAACACACAACACUCCGGGUGCUUUAAUUAGAGUGGCUCUUGGAGCUGCUCAAAUUAAAGUGUCCCAGUGCUGCACCCUCCCCCCAAACACAUGUAUAAACUCCCUUAAGGGCUUAAAGCACAUUUAGAACAUUCUCAAUGUUACAUCUGCCCACCUUUAGUGAUACUCUCUGUUGUCUUCCCCAAGAAUGGGGGGAAGGAGCACAUUCCUUUAGAUUUGGAACUCAUUAGAAAUGGCCAAAAUUCUUUUGGAUUUAUGUUGAAAUCACAUCAAAAUAUAAAGGACAUGAAGUUUCAAUGCAUCACAUUAAAUCAAACCCAAAUACACUCAGAAAGGGAGAGAGAGAGAGAGUUUUCAAUUAAUUUGGGCCCAAUUGCAAACAGGUAACAAACCUGAAACCAGGCAAAUUUUGAGUGGUUUCAGGUUUUGUUAUAAGACUGUCACAGUGCUUUAGUCCUCAUUCUCCUAGGUUCAUUACACGUUGAACAGAACUUCCCCAAAAGCAAGAUGUUAACCCUGGCCUCCUCUCUGAGCAGAAUGCACCAGCCAAGUAAGGCCAUCCCUACUGUGUUGCAAAAGUAAUGUAAUCUAAUGAUCAUAAGCACAUACAUCCUCCACAGAGAAAGGGAAAGCACAAUAGGAGCUAAAAGCACUUUCCUUCUGGGAAAGAUACAAACUGGCUCUUUCAGCUUGUCUCUCAGAUUCAAAGUGCCAGUUACUGUACCAGAGCAUUCAGGGAAAGGCUCCUCUCUUUUCCUAGUGCUAAUUCUCCACCCCUCUCCUCUAUUAAUGAAGCCAGUUUCAAUUACCCAUUGAGAUAUCUUCACAAACGCCUAUGAGAUCUUCUAUGCCACUUCUUGGCAUAAAAACUUCUCCCUUUGCAAGGCUAGUGAGCCACUGCCACUAACCUGUCCUAAGAAUCCACUUCUGCCAAGAUGCCUCCAUGAUGAGAUAUAAAUUACCAACCAAUAAUGAAUAGGCAGGGAAUUCCCAUAUGUUGGGUAUAUAUUUGUAGCCAAUGUGAGGCCUAUCACUCAGUUUAAUGCUAUAUCUCUGUCUCUUUUUUGCCUAUAAUACGAUAAUGUGUGAAGACUAUGUUCAACCAAUUCCAAAAUCCCUUGGAAAGUUCUAGGUAUCAGUGAGAGGAACCAUACCAAUCGUGGAAAAAAAUGUAAAGUUGCAACACUAGACAAUCCUGUUGUCUUGGCCAUUUGUUGCUACAGGGAAGGAAACAUUAUGACAUCACAGGAGCCUCCACCAGUCACCUUCCUUCUACUUUAAUUGAAUGUUUCAAUAACAUUGGCAGAAAUUAGUCAGGAAAUGAGAUAGCAAGUCAGGACUAACAUGCUUUGAUAUAGUUGGAGUGUCACAGAGGUUCAGUGGCAGAGGAGCAGGGGCUCCAAUACUGGCUGAACCAUAGGCACCGACUUUUAUUUUUGCCAGGGGGGAGUCUAAAAUGAUUGACAUGUGGAACGUUUUAUGCAUUUCAGGUGACAGCCCUCUUCCCAAGAUGGGCCAGGGCCCUCAGGCCUCCAUGUACUUGGCACCUCUGUGUCACAACCCAAAGGUGUGAUUUUUUGUUUGUGUGCGCGCUUCGGCACCGCUAAAUUAUUUUCCCGCCAAUUUGUCGCUUUCUUUGCACGGUAGAGUUCUCUGCUGCUAGAGAGAACUCUAGUGCAGCGGGGAAUUUCCCGCCAGAUUACAGCUUCUUUGCAGUGUGCAUCUCUUUUGCAUCAUAGUGAUACACGCUGUAAAGAAGUUCCCGCCAUUUGUAUUAGGAUUCGCGCCACAUUAUUGGCCCAUUCCUAAUGUAGGCACACGUGGCGGCUAGUGAUUGGCUUGCUAGCCGUACAAAAGGCUUGGGUAGUUUCCGCCCAAGUCGGAGGAGGGAGGAUGAGAGAGAUUCUGUGUGAAGAUCUCCAAGCGCUGCGGACCCUCGCGGACCCGACGCGCCUCCCCUAAGCAGGCAAUGGAGGCAAUAGAACCGAGCCUACGGAGCUUUCACUUCUAGCCUCUCCCCAUCGCUGAGUGCAAUCCUAGACGUAUCCCUUUCCUGUAACUUCAGACCCGCAGAGCCUAAGUAACUCCGGGGAAACUUUUCAAGUCUAACCGAACCAGACCCGCGGAGCCUGAACAACUCUGUGGUAGCAAUCGAUUUGUCAUGUUCCUCUAGUGAGGAUCCAAGCGGGAGCUGUGCCUGGAAAUCUGUCCAGCCUACACCAAUACCAUCUUUGGGUGUAAGUAAACAAUCUUUUCAAUCAA